This is a long non-coding RNA of Manis pentadactyla (Chinese pangolin), 3971 nucleotides long. RefSeq lists it as uncharacterized. The record is from RefSeq and is a predicted model, not a curated record. The transcript has 3 exons. Lineage: Eukaryota; Metazoa; Chordata; Mammalia; Pholidota; Manidae.
UAUUCCUAAUGACAAUUUUAUGACUCAUGAGUCAGUUAAUGACAGACUUUGCAUCUGGGUCUUGCAAAACAAGAGGGACCCUGUGUACCUUCAAAAGGGGAAUUCAGUUCAUCCAUCUCCUUUGUGUAAGGAUAAACCUUCUUGGUACUUCCUACCCCAUCCUCUCUGGAAGGGACCAGUGUGAGGACUGAUUUGGUUCGUGCUACAUUCCCACUAAGCAGGGGCUCUGAAAUCAGUCUCUGGAACCAACACAGGCAGCGCAGGGGUGGUCCUGCCAUGGGCGUCACACAGCUGAGCGCAUCUAGAAGAGAGACGGGUGAGCCUGCUCAGAACCCUCUUGAAAGAGUCUGGGCACCUCCUGGGAGAGAACUGACCAGAGGAAGACAAGUCUGCAGAGAGUACUCACCAGGGACAGUGCCCCGGCCACAGGGGCCACAGAGGGAAGUGGGACCAGCGCAGAGCCGCAGCUGCGGAGACCCUGCAGCCCAGGGAGGCUGCCCCAGAAGCCGUGGGAACGCCGCCCUCGGAGUGGCGCGGGGGCAGCAGCCGGGAACUUUGUAAAGUGCGGUGAGAGACUUGGGCUGAAAUGAUCAAAACUGUAUGUGCCGUGUCAGGUCCUGGAGGAGAACCAGGUUUACCAGGCACACUUACGGGCCAUGCGAACAUGCGCCGUGUACAUGCCGUCCGACAUGCUAGGGCCUAGGGAUAGCACUCGUCAUGAUGGCCGGAGGCAAGGCCUCAGGCACAGAAACCUACACGUUAUUCUCGAGCGACCUAGGCCCGGUGGAUUAUCUCCAGUUCUUACCAAUAUGUUUUUAAUUGGAAAAUGUUUAAGUGGAAAAAGUAUGAAGGUAAGUAGCACUUCUAUUGUUUAUUUUAAUGGGGUCCGCUUAGGUGGGGGCUGCAUCAAGAUCAAUUCCAUUACACAUCCUUGCAAAAUCAAAAGGAGUAAGCGUGACACAAAACUUAAGGAAAACAGCAAGUGCAAAAUAAAUAAAUGCAGGAAGAAUAUGCGAGUAGUGGUGACAUGCGAAGAUGAAAGUGAACACGCGCACCUACACAUUUCAAUGCGAAUUAAUGACCUCGCGUUCUGCCCAGGACGCCCUGCUGGCCAGCCACCCAUAGCCCGGGGAGACAGAAGGCGCUGAGCCUCUCCCAGAGGAGUCAGGAUCUGUCCUGCAGCCUGAUGUGCGACACUUCCAUUCCCAGAAGGCCAGACGUCCCUAAGUUCCUAUGCAAAUGUUAAUUGUACUAACUAAAUAUAAUUUGCAUUUCCCAUACUCCUGGAUGUUAGAGUCCCACAGGCCAGGAGCCACUGCUUCUAACAGAUCUCUUACACCCACUAAAAUACCUUUAACUGGGGGCCAGCGUGCUGCAGAUCUCAUGUCAUUCCACACUGGAAACAUUCAGCUUUAUGUUUUCCAAAUGUCUACACGUCAGUUCAGCUCUGCAGCCCCCUGUUAGGAUCUGUCUCGUGGCCGCAGGGUGGAGCCCGGCUGGGGUGCUGGGAAGCUGCAGACAUUUGGAGCCCACAGCCCAUUGGGUAAAACUCACAUUAACGACAUUGUCAGCGCCCAGGUGAUCCGCUGGACUGCCGAUGGCUGGGAAGAAGCUCUCAGCGCUGUAGCGGUGUCGGCUCCCCAUUUCCGGCUGGGCUCUCCAGGGCUCCUCCGGCCUCGGCCCUCCCUGACCCCAGAGUGCCAUCUGGAGCCCGGGCAGGACACCCCCGGGGCAAGCAGGAUGUUUGUGGCAGCGUGCUCUGCCCUCCGGUGUGUGAUCCCCUGGACAGCUGGCAAUGGGUCGGAUCCAAGAAACCAGCAGCAGUGUCUCUCCUGCCCGUAUCUGGAGUAAGCUGCCCACAGAAAAAUAAGUUCUGACCCUUGUGUCAAAACGGGGCCAUGGCCAAGUGCUCCAUCCCUGAGCACAGCGUGCUCCCUUUACACGAGACAUCCAGGGGGGCAGACCCAGUGUGCUAGCCUUAGUGAGAGUUCUAACCCUAUAAACCAUGCAGAUGUCCUGAAAGGGAGAGAAACGUGAGACUUUUUUUCCUAAAUAUACGCCAUGUCCUUUAAAUAUGCUGUGCUCACCGCACAUUGUUGGGGCAAAUCAUAAUACUUACUGAGGAAGAAAUCCACAUGUACUUAUAUUCAUCUAUACAAAAUGUCCACAUACAGUGUAUAUAAUUAUAUAUAUGUUAUAUGUGUGUCAGAAUAUAUAAUGUAUUUAUAUGUUCAUAAUAUAAGAAUAUAUAUAGUAUAUAUGUUUUUAUAUACUAUUGAUAUACAUGUGUAUAGAUACAUUUUAAGUAUUUAAAUAAAUGAGGAAAUCUUAUCUUUGGUUUAUUUAAACACUAAAUCUCUGCUUUUUUAAACAGCUUCUUUAAGGAUUUCAAAGCACCCCUUUUAAAUUCCUUUUUACAGAUUUCUUUUCGGUGCCACUUUAUUUCCGUUAGCCCUCUGCAGGUGUCCUGGCUUCCACGGGAGGAGCCUUUUACAUUAGUCAGACUCUAGAUCAAAGACCCCCUCUCUCCUUCCACGUUCCUGAAGUGGCAGGGGGGCCCUGGAUGGCUGGGGCUCCCUGUGAUCACGCAAGCGGAAACCCUGGGAUGGAAACGGGAAGGAUGUGUGGCCUGGUAGUUCUGCCUGUGGGCUGCUCCCCAUUCUCCUUGGGGCCUCAUGGCGCCAUCAGUCUGGGCCUCUGUGGCAUCCUGUGUGCCUGGGGAAGCAGGAUAUUUGCAUCGCUGGGCAGUAGGGUUUUGAAGUGAAGCUGCCAGGCCUGUUGCACUAGCUGGCUGAGCUCCGUUAUCGUGGGGUGAGGGACGUUUCAGGGUGGCGCUUGGAGAGUACCUUCCUCUUGUGGAAAGGUGACCACUGGUGACCCUGGUUUUUAUUCGGUGACAAAACUAUCCAAGCUUGCAUACCCAAAUGAGCCGAUCAUGAGGGCCUUUUACCGGAAAACAUUCUCUGGGUGACCUACGCUCAGCCAGAAGCGGGGGUGGCAUGCUGGGCCCAGACGUCCCGCUCCCACAAGGCCAGCCCCUGGCUCUCUGAGGAGGAAAGGGCUCAGUGCACAAAAGUGUGGCUAGGGACCCUUUACUGUUUCUGACCGUGGUAGCAUCCCUGGGCCUUCUCAACGGCCUAUGGGGAACAUCGAGGAUUUGGGCCAACAAAAGCAAGGAAAGAAACAUCAUUUACUGAAUGAUAUAAAACAAGACCAUCUUUCGUGGCUGGAGGUUGCACAAAGCGCACACACGGGACCUCUUUCCCCCUGCGGUUCCCCUUUCUCUCUCCCCUCCCUCACGGAAGUGGUCGCCAGCUCUCUGGGAUGUGUCUCCCCAGAGUCAGAGGCGUCAGGAGAACACGGAAGGCUUUGGAAGAGAUUCAAAAGGAAGGGGAUGGAAUCUGAAAAUUAGCAGUCAACAGAAAGCAGUGACUUAGUCGAGCUGGUUUUGUCUCUGUGUUGGUGGCCACAUGCUGGUCAAGAUCGAAUGUGUGUCCCAAGGAGAGUGGAGAGGGUCCGGCCCCAGGAAGCUGGCACAGCAGAGGAGGAGGGCAGUGGCUGCAGCAUCGGCAACAGUGUCCAGCUGAGGAGUGAUGCCUUCGCCGUGUGUGUCCAAAACCAUCUGGCCAGUUCCUGCCCUGCACAGUGGCCCCUACUUUAUCAGGGACACUUGCCUGUGGGGUGGGAGAUGGCAGGACCAGGAGAGCUGUGGAGGUCACAGACAGACAAAGCUCAAAGGCACAGGAUGCUUGCUUCUGAGCUGAGUAUACGGUGAGCCGGCUCCGAUGCCUGCUGCAGAGGACAAGACCCAGACAUCUGGUUUCUUAUGACGCAAGUAAUUAUCUUCUCUCAUCUCGAUCACCAAGUGUGAGCUGUAUGUAUGUAUUUUAUAACUGUAUUUAAAAUAUCCUGCUUCUUUGCAAAGAGAGUCCAAAGGUGAUAGAUUUAAACAAUAAAAUUAAUAGUGAUCU